GGGGGAGGGUUGGUGUCAGCAGUUCAAGACUGUCUUUCCUACCCUCUUCAGUGCCUUUUUCUGUAAUAUGAAGUUAGAACCAAGUACUGUUAUUACUUAACUGAUUUUUGGUUCUUAUGAAGGUGCUUUUUUGUGUGGAUGGUUGUUCAAUUUGGUGUUCUUGCAGGGAGGAUAAUCCUUGAAGGUUUCUAUUUAGCCAUCUUGCUCUGCCUCUUGCUCCUAUAACAUUUUUAGAAAAGAAAAUGGAUAUUUUAAUUAGAAGCAACUGAUUCUACUACUAAAUUAACAUUGCUUGGGUCCACAUUUUGCACACUAAAACAUUCACAGAAAGAGUUCUUAUAUUUGUAACUGUACUUAAUAGGUAGGAAGAUUUUAAAGUGUACAAUAUUAAACAUUGUUUAUAUGAAUAUUGGAGAUUCUUACUUCAAACAUUUUUGUAAUGUUUCCACUUAAAUAUCAAUUACCAGGCAGACUCUUACCAGUGAUAACAUUCUUGGGAAUUUGCAGGAUCCCUUUUUGACCAAAAAUGAACCACAAGGCACUUAUAAACCCCGUGAGCUUGGACAGGAAAUGGGAAUUUGAAUCAAUAACUCUGCUGGAGUCACACCAGCUAUUGGCAAGGGAGGAAUCAGAGAUUCUCUUCAUAGGCUGUCAUUCCAAGGAGGCAGAUUAUGGUGUUGCAGUUGACUCUUAGAUGACUGAAUUCUUCCCUUUGGCUAUAAGGUACAAAGGAGAUACGUGGAUGAGAGGCUUUUGGAAUUCUGCCACUCUUGUUUGAAUAUGAGGCACAUGGCCACAGCUCAUGCUUUCCUAGCAGCACAGCUGCUGGAGGCAUAUCAUCUCUAGCCACACACAGUACUUGAUCUCCUCCACUGCAAGGUAAGAGUGGGUCUAUUGAAAGACAAGUGUUUGACCAGAGGUUGCAACUUUUGCUUCAGGGCUGCAUGUUUUAUGGAUUUUAGCACAGAACAUAUCUUUCUUUUUUCUAUUUUUGAGGCAGGGUUUCACUCUGUCACACAGGCUUGGAGUGCAGAGACAUAAUCAUAGCUCACUGCAGCCUCGAUCUCCUGGGCUCAAAUAAUCCUUCCACCUCAGCUUCCCAAGUAGCUGGGACCACAGGCCCACAGGCCCACACACCACCAUACCUGGCUAACUUUUGUAUUAUUAUUAUUAUUAUUAUUAUUAUUAUUAUUAUUUUGUAGAGAUAGGGUUUUACUGUACUGCCCAGGCUGAUCUAGAACUCCUAGGCUUAAGAGAUCCACCCACCAACUCAGCCUCCCUAACUGCUGGGAUUACAGGCGUGAGCCACUGCAUCCAGCCCAACAUACCCUUUUCAUCUUGGUCUUUCUGCACAAUGCAGUUAAAAACCACAUUGCAGUUUUUAUAGCCAUAGUAAUCUUGAAGGACUGUUGAAAAUAUGUGAGAAAUGUCUUCAGACCUUGUAUAUAGUAGGAUGCUAUUAGUGUGAUUAAGAUCCUACAGAAUAUGAUUUAGUCCCAUGUAUAAUCUAAUCUACAUCCAACUCAGUUCAAGUGUUUAGCACAGAGAUGAAGAAUGGGGAAUUAUUAUGAAGAGGAGUUGAAUUUCAACUUCAAAAAAGUACAGCAGUUAGUGACACUGGGCAUAUACUAAGAAACAGUUCACGACAUAUAGGUAGGCCUUGGAGAUAUCAUGGGUUAAGUUCCAAACCACCGCAAUAAAGCAAAUAUCACAAUAAAGAGAGCCACGUGAAUUUUUUUGUUUUCCAGAGCAUACAAAAGUUAUGUUUACACUUAUACUAUAGGUUAUGAAGUGUGCAAUAGUAUUAUGCCAAAAGAGUAAGUUAUUAAUUAAAAAUAUUUUAUUGCUAAAAAUUGAUAUCAUCUGAAACUUCAUUG
This 1877-nucleotide long non-coding RNA is filed under the name Macaca mulatta (Rhesus monkey). RNAcentral describes it as "lncRNA (ENSMMUG00000043878.2)". The record is from RNAcentral. Lineage: Eukaryota; Metazoa; Chordata; Mammalia; Primates; Cercopithecidae.